UGAAGAGCCAUCUUGUCCGAAGGCCCUCGGUGACUUGGUGGAGUCUUGUAUGGGUGCAAUCCUACUUGACACAGGGUUUGACUUGAACCGUGCUUGGCAAAUUAUACUCUCCUUCUUAAAGCCCGUCAUGAGCUUUACCAGGUUGCAACUUAAUCCGACAAGGGAACUCUAUGAACUUUGUCAGUCUUUUGGCUGGAAUUUAAAGUUCCUGCCGUCAAAAAAAGAUGGCAAUUUUCUAGUUGAGGCCAGGGUAAAUGGGGAGAAUGUUUCUGCAGCUGCUUCUGCUCUCAAUAUUAAUAAAAAAUCUGCUCAAAGAAUGGCUGCACAAAUAGUAUGCUCAAGCUUGAAGGCUCAAGGCUACAGGCCCAA
This 369-nucleotide unclassified non-coding RNA is filed under the name Hevea brasiliensis (rubber tree). The record is from RNAcentral. Lineage: Eukaryota; Viridiplantae; Streptophyta; Magnoliopsida; Malpighiales; Euphorbiaceae.